UAUACAAUCCCUCAUAGGUAAUGUAAUCC
This 29-nucleotide small RNA is filed under the name Anaerobutyricum hallii. Its description in RNAcentral is "CRISPR_Repeat". Lineage: Bacteria; Bacillati; Bacillota; Clostridia; Lachnospirales; Lachnospiraceae. The record is from RNAcentral.